This 83-nucleotide ribosomal RNA is filed under the name Nelumbo nucifera (sacred lotus). Lineage: Eukaryota; Viridiplantae; Streptophyta; Magnoliopsida; Proteales; Nelumbonaceae. The record is from RNAcentral.
CAUCAGAACUCCGAAGUUAAGCGUGCUUGGUCGGGAGUAUUACUAGGAUGGGUGACUUUUUGGGAAGUCCUCGUGUUGCACCC